ACUAAUGCUUUCAAUUCCUUGACAACGCAAAAAUCAUUUCACAAGAACAUGGAAUGGGUGUGGAGCCUCACCAAGCUUUAUUUACAUGCGCACCAUUUCUUAUACAAACUAGAUUACAAUUAAAAAUGGAAUACACAGGAAAAAUACCAACUAACAUCAAGUCGAGAAGAAGCAAGAUUAAUAAAGGAAACAGCUCAGAGGACGUGAGGGGGGCAGCUGACCUGGACCUCUAGAGAAUCAUGAAAAAGUUCCAAGAGAAGUUAAUGAAAAGGGAACAUCGAAGGUGAUUAAGGUAUCUAGUGGUAUGUUUACUUCUAUUUUUUUUGCUUUUCUUAGCUUUAAAUUUGCACGUGACGUGCUGCAGGUGUGUGUGUGCGUGUGUGUAUGUGUGUUGAGCACGAGGAGAUAAUCUGUGCAUCAAUGAAGCAGUAGCACUGAGUGGUUGUGUGGAAGGCCUGCUCCACUAUGACAAAGUGUAAACUACCUCCCCGAAGAGCCAAAGCAUACACAACGUAUGUAUGUUUUAUCAGGGAUCAAUAACCCCUCUUUAAGUAGAACGGGCUUUUAUGUUGUCAGUCCUGUUCACGGGACUAGUCGAGUGCUUCUAGCAUUUAGCGCUGUCAUCGUGAAUAAAUCCAAAUGCCUAGCAGUGACGGCUCGGGGGUUUCCAUUCCAAGCACGUGUGAUAAAUGCUUUGGAGAUUUUUAGAUGUGACAAGGGUGUAGGAAUCUCCAGCGCGUUGUCAGAUGGGGCUUCUACCACAUCAAAAUGACCAGCAAACAUUCUGCGAGCACCGGGACGUUAACCUGCUGUACUCCACGUGGAAUAAAACAAGUGUGAAGCCGAGGAACGUCCGUUGAGGAGGAUUUCCCUGUGUCUGCCUUGAUGUGCACACACUCGUAACAAUAAACCCUUUAACGCGGGAGGACUCAGCUUUGUUAGCCCCGAUUUAAAAAAAUAGAAAGUGUGUGUGUGCUUAAGUGCUAAAGACACAGGGUUCCUCUGUGAUUUACAAUUUCUGUCGCAGGACGGCACCAUUGGAAGGAUGUAGGGGUACAGCUAGGUCAUGCACUAAACCUCAGAUAGCACAGUAGAUCAUUCUAGUCAACCGUGCACACACACACACACACACUCCUCCGACCUUGGCUUCAAAGGGAUAUACACACACAUCUGUACACUAUUAUACACAGCGGGGCAUACACUUCAUGUUGCCACCCCGGACAGAGAGAAGGGAUCCCAGGAUGCCCAGAUGCUACAACAACGGUGCUUUCCACCAUUUGAAAAAAAGAAAAAAAAUCUGGUUCAACAAUUAAAUUGCUGGUAACAGUGUUCCUUCCUACGGGGGGAUGUAACUUUGUUCAUUACUUCUUCAACUUUACCUUCAGAGGUUUCAUGAAAUCCAAGGGGGUCAAGUACUACAUGAGUAUAUAAGUACAGCGAGUAUAUAUGCAUUUCACACGUUUUCAUAAUGCAUAAACACAUGCACGCGUACAGUCGGCUGUGCUGUAUGCAGCAUGAGGGAUAGUGAGGGAUUACACAUCCUUGUGAGAUUAAAUCAACAGAAAUAAAUUCCACAGAUAAUCACGUACACGCACGCACAUAAACAUGUACUCGGGAGGUACGGGGAAAUCACCUGGAGGAGCACCAGGCGUGUCCACGAGGGGGGAUGUGUGUAUGCGCGUCACAAGUCCGACAAGGAGGAAAAAAAUAAAAGCCAUGACAGCAAAAAAAAAAAAGAAAAAUAACGGGCCGCGUGAUGUCUUAAUCCUGACGUUUCUUCUCCUCCUCCUUCAUCUUGGCGGCCAAAGUUCACAGGUUACAAGUUCAACCUCGCCGUGCUACAAAUGGCUGCAGCUUUGGGCAUCUGCAGAAUGAGGGUGAAAAACAGAAAAAGAAAAAGACCAAACGAAAUGCACGGCUUGCUCUCUCCGGGUCGGGCUCAACACUGUUUACAAAGCACCUGUAAUGGUGUGGAAAUGUUCACAACCCCCAGGACACAGGUAAUCAUUUUGCCUACAUCAUAUGCAGUGAUAAAGCCAUCUGACAAAAUCUUUACCUGUCUUUCUUGAACUCUACACCACUCUGGACUGUACAAAUAUCCAUGACAAAGAUUCUCUUUCUCUCGUCUUUUUUUUUUCUUCAGUUUUUACAGUUAGAUUACAGAUUUACAGAUAUUUCCUUUCGUUUUUUAAUUGUUUUUUUUACAAAUGAUAGCAAAUAUUAUUUUAAAUAUUCAGCUAAUGGUAAUUAUAGCCCUCAGUAUGCAACUUAAUUUAAUUGAAGCAACAGAUUUGGAAGUGCAUGGCAUUGAGUUGAGCAGUUUUGACUCGUACGGGUCCUGGCGAUUUGCAAACUGGGGCAAAGAGUCGGUCGGUCUGUUGGUGUGUUUGCAUGUACGUAAAGAUACUCCACGUUCAUCUUUCCAUUUCAUCAACACACCGAAGACAUGUAUGAUGCAGACAACAAUGACAAGAUAGAAAGUCCCCAAAACAAACACUGAACAUUUAAAACACCAAAAGAGAACAGAGGGAUAUUGUUUUUUCCACAGAACACAUCCCAGGAAACCCCUGGAUCAGAUUUACACCACGGCACCUCUGGAUCUUUUCACUCUACACUUUGUUUUUGUCUUUAUUUUUGUUUUCAAAGGAAACAACUCCUUCAAGCUUUGCUUUAUAUUAAAUCCUUGUAUAUCACCCGAGACACCCUUCUGAUGAAUCUGUGUCUCUUUGAUGUCCACAGACUGAGCGUCAAAGGAGAAUUGCAUAAUUUGUGAGUUUUACAUUAACUUCCUCGUUGUUGUUGUUGUGGUGGUGGUGGUUUCACAGGAGGCUUCGAGGGAUGACGUGCAGCGUCUCUGGAGUUUGUCCGAUCGUCCGUGGUUCAUCAGUGUGGGAGCCGAGGUAAAGCUCUCGUGAGAAAAUCUUCUGUAAACACACGGUUCGUAUCUUUACGUUGUGCUGAUGGCAGGUUUGGCAAAAAGGAUGUUGUGUGUCUGAUCUUCUUUUGCACUACUUAGUUCAGACCUGGAGAAAUAAAGAACGAGAUUAUUACGACUGCAUGUUCAUGCUGUAAUAACUGAAAGCAAGAAAAAAAAUAAUUUCUGUUUAUUAACCAAAUGUCC
Molecule: long non-coding RNA, 3121 nt
Organism: Gasterosteus aculeatus aculeatus (three-spined stickleback)
Lineage: Eukaryota; Metazoa; Chordata; Actinopteri; Perciformes; Gasterosteidae
Source: Ensembl